UAUUGACAGAGAACUUUGAUCACCAUGUUAACAGCUAUGAUGUCAUGAAUAGCUCUAUCUGAAUUGAAAUUUACAUGGAUUUGCUGAACAUUCAGAUGUCUAUCUAAAUAGUGUGUGAAGCAAUCCUAAGAGAAUGAUAACUUGGGAAACUGCUCCGCUUGGCUGUCCUACAAUUGCAUUCAGGAUAAGAAUAAGAUUACAGUGAGGGCAGGCAGAUCUCUGAAGCACCAGGUGUGUAUCCUUUCUCCUCAAACUACUUGCCAGAUCAAACACUGCACAGAAUUUCCCCCACCGAUUGAUCUACAUUGGAUUAUUCCUGUCUGAUUUAGGGAUGCAGGAAGAGCUGCUGAUUUGCUCUAUUUGUCUAGUUUUAGGAGGGUUUUAAAAACAAUUAAUUAACUAAAAACAUUUAAGGACAAAUGAGAGAGAGAGAGAGAGAGAGAGAGAGAGACAUUGCACAUACUUUUGUAAACCAAGAAAAUCUUUAGUAAAGAUACAUUAAAAAGAAACAUUUAAAGACCACUUGAUUGUAAUAGAAUCUCUGUAAACAAAACAUGAAUAUUACCAAAAACUGACAGUUAAAAACAAGUAUUUUAAAAUUUUGGAAUAUAAUUUAAAUCAGCAGUAAACUAAAAAGAUAUUAAAUAAAACACAUUCCAUUUCUACAUGUCUAGAUAGGCUAGCCUAAGCAAAAACACCUUUAGCAGGUGCCGAAUAUAGUACUUUUUUGUUAUUUUUAUUUUCCAGUGCUUGCCAGUUUUUGUAGGUCAAUGCCAAUAAAGAUUUGAAUAAAAAUAACUAUUUUGAGAAUCAUUUCUGAAAAUGGCCUCUAUUCAUAGUUGUUUUUUUUAAAAAAACAACAACCAACAAUAACAAAUAGCUUGUGUCUACUUCAGUUUCAUACUUUCCAAAUUUCUCAGUUAAAAGAGGGUUUCCUAUUCAGUAAGACAAUAGUUACUUUAGUAUGAGUGAAUAUAUAUGUAUAAGUAAGCACACACACACACACACACACACACACAAACACACACACUUUUAUGGGGCCUGGAUACAUUCAUGUCCUGUUAACAUAGCAUGGAAACAUUCCUUUCAUUCAUGUUGCCUUUUGUUUCAUUCAUGUUGCCUUAUCUAGCUAUGAACUCAAGAGAUGGCCCUAGACAAGUUCUGUCUCUCAACCCUAGCACCUUGGAAUGUAUACAAGUUAAUGAUAAGGUUGGGCUUGAUUGUGUCCAUAAAGAAGAUAAUUAUUUAGAGAGACAGAGUCAUCUCAGGCUGAUUUGGAGUUGAUGGUCCAACUUCCUUGGCCUGAGCACAAAUUAUCUAUUCAGUUAACUGUCAGAGAAUUCCUCAUCUGAAAAUUAAGAUUACAGGAUUUCUUUGUAUUACAGCCUUAUUCCUGGCACGAUGAACCAUGAUUGAUCCUGAGAUUGAUCACUGCCAUUGUGUGAGUAUGUUUUAACAUGCAGCCUGAAAAGAAGAGGAGUUCUGAAGCAUGUGGACUACCCCUACUCAUUGGCAGAGUUUGCUUGGAAAUGUUUUGCUUUGCUGAUGGCAGUAAGCCCUUGUGACUUCCAGCAACCUGCCUAGCAUAUCAGUUUGUAUAGAAUGCUAAACCAUGCUUACUAAACUAUGGUUUAUUAAACCAUGGUUUAGCUGCAUUAUGUGUCAACGCAGCCCAUAACUAUGGUUUAUUUACUAUGGUUAAAUGUUCUAGCUAGUUUAAAAAUCGUAGCUAAUGUUAACCAUAGCUUAGUGUUACAUGUGAACCUGGAUACCCUCCUUAGCUAUGGUUAAAGUGCCAUCGCCCAAAAGUUGCAAUGUUGUCAAUGAAGUGCUGCAAAAAAUUCAAACUGCUCUCACUGUGCUUUUAAUGAUUCUACAAUGCAUUGAAUCAAGAUUUAACUGAUUAUCUGCCUGAUGCCUCAGUUGUAACCAUGGUUAAUGUUAAUAAGGGGUUAGUGUUACGUACAACCAGGCCAAUGACAUGUUCUAAGAUCUGAUCAGUAGCUUCAGUAAGAAUUUAUAAACUAGUUUGUGAAGGUUUUAAUUUCUAAUGGUAAGAAGCCUAAAAGAAAGAUCUCUGGGUUUUUUUUAAAGGUGAGUUUGAAUAGUUUCUUAAAUUCAUUAUAGAUGUUAUCCCAGAAUUCCCCAAUGACCACAUAUGGUAAAAUAACCCCACAUCUGUUUUACAUCUCCAACAAAUCAGUGAUCCUCUUUUAUACAUUUUUGCUAGUUUCAAGGGGGUAUGAUGCCAUCUAUAUAGCAUCUUGGGAUGCGGGUGGCACUGUGGGUUAAACCACAGAGCCUAGGACUUGCCAAUCAGAAGGUCGCGGUUCGAAUCCCUGUGAUGGGGUGAGCUCCCGUUGCUCGGUCUCUGCUCUUGCCAACCUAGCAGUUCGAAAGCACGUCAAAGCGCAAGUAGAUAAAUAGGUACCGCUCUGGUGGGAAGGUAAACAGCGUUUCCGUGCGCUACUCUGGUUCGCCAGAAGUGGCUUAGUCAUGCUGCCCACAUGACCCGGAAGCUGUAUGCCAGCUCCCUCGGCCAAUAAAGGGAGAUGAGCACCGCAACCCCAGAGUCACAACUGGACCUAAUGGUCAGGGGUCCCUUUACCCUUUACUUUAUAUAGCAUCUUCAUGGUGUUUUCCCUAGAGGAACCACAUUCUAACAUGCAGCACAUUGUGAAGACUGGGCCUGAUUUCUGAGUUCACGUAAUGUGUAUAGAUAUCCAUUCCACUGUACAUUCUAUUACCAUUGCCACUGCCAUUUCUAGAGUGCUGAGAGACUAGAGUGCUCCAGUUUUCUCAGGGUCAACAUUUUGUGUUCUUCACAAUACUAACAAAGCCUUUUGAUUCUUGGCAGUUUUUGUUUUUUUAAUUAGAAUGCCUUUGCUUUAUUUUAAUUCAUGACAUUUGACAAUUUUGUGCAAAACAAGCCAGACAUUUUAACACACAAGGCAUUUGUGAUCAGUUCCUGACAGUACUGAGCAUUCAGUAUUUAAGCAAUCUUUAUUAUUAUCCCUUAACAACACAGUUGUGGCAGUUUGACUCCUCCCACCAAUGUGAACAAAGGCUUGCUAGACAGCUGAUAUCAAUCUAGACUCAAUGUCUGGAGAUCAGUGAUAAGGCAUCACAUGUUUGCAGCUGAGGGGUGGGGUGGGUGGAGUCAGAAAGAGCUUGAAAGGGGAUUUUUAACCCUUUCUGCUUUGUUCCCCCCCACCAAUCUGAAUGGCUUCCCAAGCUUCUAUUUUCUUCACAUGGCAGGGAUGGCCAGAAGUUAGAUGAGCUCUAGGUGAUUUUAAGUAGAUCAGAGAGGAUUUCUGACUUCCCCAUGUUUAUCAAUAACAGCAACAAAGUAAUCC
This is a non-coding RNA of Podarcis lilfordi (Lilford's wall lizard), 3356 nucleotides long. Lineage: Eukaryota; Metazoa; Chordata; Lepidosauria; Squamata; Lacertidae. The record is from the annotation of a GenBank genome assembly.